RNAcentral lists this ribosomal RNA (253 nucleotides) under uncultured bacterium. Its description in RNAcentral is "partial 16S ribosomal RNA". It matches the Rfam family "Bacterial small subunit ribosomal RNA", at positions 524 to 776 of the family's 1533-position model. The record is from RNAcentral.
UACGUAGGCAGCGAGCGUUGUUCGGAGUUACUGGGCGUAAAGGGUGUGUAGGCGGUCUUUUAAGUUUGGUGUGAAAUCUCCCGGCUUAACCGGGAGGGUGCGCCGAAUACUGAGGGACUAGAGUGCGGGAGAGGAAAGUGGAAUUCCUGGUGUAGCGGUGAAAUGCGUAGAUAUCAGGAGGAACACCGGUGGUGUAGACGGCUUUCUGGACCGUAACUGACGCUGAGACACGAAAGCGUGGGGAGCGAACAGG